RNAcentral lists this ribosomal RNA (278 nucleotides) under Escherichia coli. Its description in RNAcentral is "partial 23S ribosomal RNA". It matches the Rfam family "Bacterial large subunit ribosomal RNA", at positions 1104 to 1380 of the family's 2925-position model. Lineage: Bacteria; Pseudomonadati; Pseudomonadota; Gammaproteobacteria; Enterobacterales; Enterobacteriaceae. The record is from RNAcentral.
GCUUAGAAGCAGCCAUCAUUUAAAGAAAGCGUAAUAGCUCACUGGUCGAGUCGGCCUGCGCGGAAGAUGUAACGGGGCUAAACCAUGCACCGAAGCUGCGGCAGCGACGCUGAUGCGUUGUUGGGUAGGGGAGCGUUCUGUAAGCCUGUGAAGGUGUACUGUGAGGUAUGCUGGAGGUAUCAGAAGUGCGAAUGCUGACAUAAGUAACGAUAAAGCGGGUGAAAAGCCCGCUCGCCGGAAGACCAAGGGUUCCUGUCCAACGUUAAUCGGGGCAGGGU